Molecule: ribosomal RNA, 253 nt
Filed under: uncultured prokaryote
Description: partial 16S ribosomal RNA
Rfam family: Bacterial small subunit ribosomal RNA
Source: RNAcentral
UACGGGGGGGGCAAGCGUUGUUCGGAAUUACUGGGCGUAAAGGGCUCGUAGGCGGCCAACUAAGUCAUACGUGAAAUCCCUCGGCUUAACCGGGGAACUGCGUCUGAUACUGGAUGGCUUGAGUUCGGGAGAGGGAUGCGGAAUUCCAGGUGUAGCGGUGAAAUGCGUAGAUAUCGGGAGGAACACCUGAGGCGAAGGCGGGCUACUGGGCCGAUACUGACGCUGAUGUGCGAAAGCCAGGGGAGCGAACGGG